UAGUGUACCGGUGAAAUGCAUAGAUAUUACACAGAAUACCAAUUGCGAAGGCAGAUCACUAACAAUUAACUGACGCUGAUGGACGAAAGCGUAGGUAGCGAACAGGAUUAGAUACCCUGGUAGUCUACGCAGUAAACGAUGGUUACUAGCUGUUUGGCCGCCUUAGGCGGCUAAGUGGCCAAGCGAAAGUGAUAAGUAACCCACCUGGGGAGUACGUUCGCAAGAAUGAAACUCAAAGGAAUUGACGGGGGCCCGCACAAGCGGUGGAGCAUGUGGUUUAAUUCGAUGAUACGCGAGGAACCUUACCAGGGCUUAAAUGCAGUCUGACAGGGGUAGAAAUACCUUUUUCUUCGGACAGAUUGCAAGGUGCUGCAUGGUUGUCGUCAGCUCGUGCCGUGAGGUGUCAGGUUAAGUCCUAUAACGAGCGCAACCCCUAUGGUUAGUUGCUAGCAGGUCAUGCUGAGAACUCUAGCCAGACUGCCGGUGUAAACCGUGAGGAAGGUGGGGAUGACGUCAAAUCAUCACGGCCCUUACGUCCUGGGUAAAACGUGCUACAAUGGUAUGUACAAUGAGCAGCCACCACGCGAGUAGGCGCAAAUCUCAAAGCAUAUCACAGUUCGGAUCGGAGUCUGCAACUCGACUCCGUGAAGCUGGAUCGCUAGUAAUCGCACAUCAGCCAUGGUGCGGGAUACGUUCCCGGGCCUUGUACACACCGCCCGUC
RNAcentral lists this ribosomal RNA (721 nucleotides) under uncultured organism. RNAcentral describes it as "bacterial SSU rRNA". It matches the Rfam family "Bacterial small subunit ribosomal RNA", at positions 671 to 1398 of the family's 1533-position model. The record is from RNAcentral.